CGAAGGCGUAGCUGUUGGUGUCGAAGUUGACGCUGCCGGCGUCGCGGCGCGACAGGUACAGGUUCAGGCUGUUCAGCACCAGCCCGCCGUUGU
This 93-nucleotide transfer RNA is filed under the name Achromobacter insuavis. Its description in RNAcentral is "tRNA-Gly". Lineage: Bacteria; Pseudomonadati; Pseudomonadota; Betaproteobacteria; Burkholderiales; Alcaligenaceae. The record is from RNAcentral.